AUUGAACGCUGGCGGCAGGCCUAACACAUGCAAGUCGAGCGGAUGAAGGGAGCUUGCUCCUGGAUUCAGCGGCGGACGGGUGAGUAAUGCCUAGGAAUCUGCCUGGUAGUGGGGGAUAACGUCCGGAAACGGGCGCUAAUACCGCAUACGUCCUGAGGGAGAAAGUGGGGGAUCUUUGGACCUCACGCUAUCAGAUGAGCCUAGGUCGGAUUAGCUAGUUGGUGGGGUAAAGGCUUACCAAGGCGACGAUCCGUAACUGGCCUGAGAGGAUGAUCAGUCACACUGGAACUGAGACACGGUCCAGACUCCUACGGGAGGCAGCAGUAGGGAAUCUUCGACAAUGGGCGAAAGCCUGAUCCAGCCAUGCCGCGUGUGUGAAGAAGGUCUUCGGAUUGUAAAGCUCUUUAAGUUGGGAGGAAGGGCAGUAAGUUAAUCCCUUGCUGUUUUGACGUUACCAACAGAGUAAGCACCGGCUAACUUCGUG
RNAcentral lists this ribosomal RNA (484 nucleotides) under uncultured bacterium. RNAcentral's name for it is "partial 16S ribosomal RNA". It matches the Rfam family "Bacterial small subunit ribosomal RNA", at positions 30 to 507 of the family's 1533-position model. The record is from RNAcentral.